GGUGGGUCUGAGUGUAGCAGUGUUUACAACUAAUUGAUCACAGCAGUUACAGACUUCUUUGUUCUUUCUCCACUCCCACUGCUUCACUUGACUAACUUUAC
This 101-nucleotide Y RNA is filed under the name Prolemur simus (greater bamboo lemur). Its description in RNAcentral is "Y RNA (ENSPSMG00000022215.1)". It matches the Rfam family "Y RNA". Rfam says of the family: Y RNAs are components of the Ro ribonucleoprotein particle (Ro RNP), in association with Ro60 and La proteins. The Y RNAs and Ro60 and La proteins are well conserved, but the function of the Ro RNP is not known. The record is from Rfam by way of RNAcentral. Lineage: Eukaryota; Metazoa; Chordata; Mammalia; Primates; Lemuridae.